Molecule: long non-coding RNA, 2044 nt
Organism: Antechinus flavipes (yellow-footed antechinus)
Lineage: Eukaryota; Metazoa; Chordata; Mammalia; Dasyuromorphia; Dasyuridae
Exons: 5
Source: RefSeq, a predicted model, not a curated record
UGGUGGUCCCUGUAGGGACAGAACCAGUUUGGGGAAUGGUUGUGCGAGUUGUGCUUGUAGUUGUGGUGAUGGGUCUAGACAGGGGUGCAGAAGUUGUGUGUUUGGGUGGAGUGACUGAAGAAGUGUUGGGACCAGUAGAUGAGGCUCGAGUUGUGCUCUGACUUGAGGCUGUGGGAGAUAAAGUUGUGGUUGUUUGUGUAGAGUGGGAGGGUGUCCCUGUUGGUGUGGUUCCAGUGGAACUCUUCAUGGUGCUGGUGAGUGUAGUAGAAGAUGUUUGGGAGCUGGAAGGGACAGAGGAAGAGGUCAUUGUUGUGUGAGGGAGAGUGGUGGAUGUCGGCAAAGAGGAAGGCAUGGUUGUGCUGUGCUGUGUGUGUGUGCCUGAUUGUGUGCCAGUUGUUGACAUUAUCCCAGCAGUGCUAGGGCCUGUAGGUUUUAUGGUGGUCCCUGUAGGGACAGAACCAGUUUGGGGAAUGGUUGUGCUAGUUGUGCUUGUAGUUGUGGUGAAGGGUCUAGAAAGGGGUGCAGUGGUUGUGUGUUUGGGUGGAGUGACUGAAGAGGUGUUGGGACCAGUAGAUGAGGCUCGAGUUGUGCUCUGACUCGAGGCUGUGGGAGAUAAAGUUGUGGUUGUUUGUGUAGAGUGGGAGGGUGUCCCAGUUGGUGUGGAUCCAGUGGUACCCUUCACGGUUGCCGUGGUGAGUGUAGUAGAAGAUGUUUGGGAGCUGGAAGGGACAGAGGAAGAGGUCAUUGUUGUGUGAGGGAGAGUGGUGGAUGUCGGCAAAGAGGAAGGCAUGGUUGUGCUGUGCUGUGUGUGUGUGCCUGAUUGUGUGCCAGUUGUUGACAUUAUCCCAGCAGUGCUAGGGCCUGUAGGUUUUAUGGUGGUCCCUGUAGGGACAGAACCAGUUUGGGGAAUGGUUGUGCGAGUUGUGCUUGUAGUUGUGGUGAUGGGUCUAGACAGGGGUGAAGUGGUUGUGUGUUUGGGUGGAGUGACUGAAGAAGUGUUGGGACCAGUAGAUGAGGCUCGAGUUGUGCUCUGACUCGAGGCUGUGGGAGAUAAAGUUGUGGUUGUUUGUGAAGAGUGCGAGGGUGUCCCAGUUGGCGUGGAUCCAGUGGUACCCUUCACGGUGGCCGUGGUGAGUGUAGUAGAAGAUGUUUGUGAGCUGGAAGGGACAGAUGAGGUGGUCAUUGUUGUGUGAGGGAGAGUGGUGGAUGUCGGGAAAGAGGAAGGAAUGGUUGUGCUGUGCUGUGUGUGUGUGCCUGAUUGUGUGCCAGUAGUUGAUAUUAUCCCAGAAGUGCCAGGGCCUGUGGGUUUUAUGGUGGUCCCUGUAGGGACAGAACCAGUUUGGGGAAUGGUUGUGCUAGUUGUGCUUGUAGUUGUGGUGAAGGGUCUAGAAAUGGGUGCAGUGGUUGUGUGUUUAGGUGGAGUGACUGAAGAGGUGUUGGGACCAGUAGAUGAGGCUCGAGUUGUGCUCUGACUCGAGGCUGUGGGAGAUAAAGUUGUGGUUGUUUGUGUAGAGUGGGAGGGUGUCCCCGUUGGCGUGGUUCCAGUGGUACCCUUCACGGUCGCCGUGGUGAGUGUAGUAGAAGAUGUUUGUGAGCUGGAAGGGACAGAUGAGGUGGUCAUUGUUGUGUGAGGGAGAGUGGUGGAUGUCGGGAAAGAGGAAGGAAUGGUUGUGCUGUGCUGUGUGUGUGUGCCUGAUUGUGUGCCAGUAGUUGAUAUUAUCCCAGAAGUGCCAGGGCCUGUGGGUUUUAUGGUUGUCCCUGUAGGGACAGAACCAGUUUGGGGAAUGGUUGUGCGAGUUGUGCUUGUAGUUGUGGUGAUGGGUCUAGACAGGGGUGCAGAAGUUGUGUGUUUGGGUGGAGUGACUGAAGAAGUGUUGGGACCAGUAGAUGAGGCUCGAGUUGUGCUCUGACUUGAGGCUGUGGGAGAUAAAGUUGUGGUUGUUUGUGUAGAGUGGGAGGGUGUCCCUGUUGGUGUGGUUCCAGUGGAACUCUUCAUGGUGCUGGUGAGUGUAGUAGAAGAUGUUUGGAGCUGGAAGGGACAGAG